This 445-nucleotide ribosomal RNA is filed under the name uncultured bacterium. RNAcentral describes it as "SSU rRNA". It matches the Rfam family "Bacterial small subunit ribosomal RNA", at positions 26 to 518 of the family's 1533-position model. The record is from RNAcentral.
AGAGCGAACGCUGGCGGCAGGCCUAAUACAUGCAAGUCGAACGGACCCUUCGGGGUUAGUGGCGGACGGGUGAGUAACACGUGGGAACGUGCCCUUUGGUUCAGAACAACUCAGGGAAACUUGAGCUAAUACUGGAUAAGCCCUUCGGGGGAAAGAUUUAUCGCCAUUGGAGCGGCCCGCGUCUGAUUAGCUAGUUGGUAGGGUAAAGGCCUACCAAGGCUACGAUCAGUAGCUGGUCUGAGAGGAUGAUCAGCCACACUGGGACUGAGACACGGCCCAGACUCCUACGGGAGGCAGCAGUAGGGAAUCUUGCGCAAUGGGCGAAAGCCUGACGCAGCCAUGCCGCGUGAAUGAUGAAGGUCUUAGGAUUGUAAAAUUCUUUCAGCGGGACGAUAAUGACGGUACCCGCAGAAGAAGCCCCGGCUAACUUCGUGCCAGCAGCCGC